This 2783-nucleotide unclassified non-coding RNA is filed under the name Leishmania donovani. RNAcentral's name for it is "gene:unknown". The record is from RNAcentral. Lineage: Eukaryota; Euglenozoa; Kinetoplastea; Trypanosomatida; Trypanosomatidae.
CAACCCGGAAGUGAACGCAGGCGCCCGCACACCACAACCAGGAACUCACAUGCGCCCCUAAAUGUGUUCAGUCUCUUAUGUUGGCGAAACGCAAUACUGAGAGGCGUCGCCGGCAUUCGCCUGUGCGCGGCACGUGGCACAGGCUGUGCUGCCGCUGCUGCUGCUGCGUGUGGUGGUGCCGCAUCCGCAUUGCCUAAGGUCUCUUGUUUUUUAUUCUGAUUGCUCGCCCGCCUCGAUCGCUUGCUGUGACGGGGCACAUUCCGCGUUGUUGCGCCCUGGCCAGCGCAGCCAGUGGAGCUACGGCCCGGCCCGGCCUCCACCGUCUACGAAAGAGCUGUGGGACAGCCUGGAGGGCCUGCUGAUCUGUGUGCGCCCCACGCACCCGGCAAAUGCAUUCGAGGACCGCCCCGCCGCUGUGGCGCAGCCCGGCAUGCACGUGAAGAGCGCCAUCGCCAGCUGGAGCGGCAAUGCGACGUGGGGCCCGGUGAUGGGCACUGGCGAAGCGGAGCCCUCUGCGGUACGUGAGCGCAUGGCGGCGCGGGGGCCGCCGGGGAAGCUGUUCCACAGCGCGAAGCUGCUGGGGCAGGUGAGUUGGCUGCGCUGCUGCGUGCGCGACCCGCGCGGCGGCGAGGCCGCCGUGCUCAUGCUCUUUAGCCGCUGCUGGCGGGUGGAGCGGAUGUGACGGCUGGUGCAGGUGGAUGUCUCGAAGGUUGUGUUUGUGUCGGAGCUCGAGCGGGGCGGCGUUGGCGAGAAGGCGCCGCGGGAGCGCGACCGCCGCAAGGUGAUCCGCAUGCUGCACCGGGGAGGGGUGGCGGAGAGGAAUUUCCGCCGUGCCCCUGGCCAAGUACGAGGGCGCCAUCAGCUGCAUUGCCGGCGUGUCUGUGGUGUGUUGCGUCUUCACGACGAGCCUGCGCGCGUAGCGGCGGCGGCAGCGGGGCCGCCAACUCAAGACAGCCAUCGAGGCCACCUCGAAGGCCGCCCAGUCAUCGAAGGGCGAGGGUGUGCUGGCGCCGCUCGGUGGGGCCUUCGCCGUGAAGCGCAAGGAUGAGGGGGCGGUGGUGCGCCGUGCGCUGACGCAGGUGGUGCCGUUGCAUUCCCGCCGCGCGGCGCUGGAGAAGCGGGCGCGGCUCGCGCACGUCGGCGUCCGCGGCACGCAGGGCAGGCCUCGCAGCGUCGAGGCGCUCGGCGUGGACUCCGUGGGAGGGUGCAUGUCGGAUGGCGAAGGCUGCGAAGGGCGAGGCGCCGUUGGUCAUGCUGAGGCUGCGCGGGGGCAGUAGUUUGCGGCGGGUGUGCGCCCAUGGAGUCGCUCCGCAUGGCGACCGCUUGACUGCCGCGCCGGGACUGCUGCAUGGGGCCCGUGCCCAGCCGCGAGCAGGCGCUCGCCUGCACGCAGCACACCACCGACGCCGUCAGUCGCAAUCAUCUGAUCAACAUCACUGCAGCGAGCGGCAACGGUUUGGCCGAGCUGCUUGCCGCCGUGCAUCCGCGCCGCGUCCCGGCGGCACGACAUGCGAGUCAGCUGCAGGCGACGUGCGCCGACGGCCCGGUGCUGCGGGCCGCGCUGCAGCAGCUCUCCGCCAGCCCCCUACGACGCUGGCCAGCACGCCGGCGGAGACACGGCGGCGCCGCGCAGUGCGGCGCUGGGGGACGUUGUGUUGGACGGUCCCGUAAGGGAUGCGCGGCUGUUCCGCGACAGGCUUUUCCCCGCCGCCUCCCGGCGCUUCUUGCUGUAGACGCGCGGUGAGGUGAGGUGGUGGUGCUGGGGACCUGUGCGAGCGCGUGCGUGUGAGGGGGUGCAUGGGAGUGGACACCGAUGUAGGGGCACUCUCACACGCUGCGACUCACCCCCUUGCCCUCCUCGCGCAAUCGCGCGCAUGCGGGGUCGCUGCUUCUCACACCUGCUCUUUGGCGUUCUUCCCCUUUUCUGUGGUGCAGUCUCUGUGCGCUUACCUUCCGCCUUUAUCCGCCGCGUCUCUCUCUCUCUGUUGCCUGCAGUGAGCGGGGUGAGCGGUGCUGGCGGCUUGUCGCAGCGGUGGCAGCGGUGGGGUGCCGCAUGUGAGGGCCGCGACGAAGGCGGUGCGCGCGUGUGUGUGUGUGCCGCUGCUUCCUCUGCACACGCCUCUCCAAAGGCCUGCCACAGGCGCUCCUACGACGACGCGAAGAAGAGCAACAGGAGACUCCAGGCGAUACGUUCUGCAACGGCGGCCCUUCGCGCCGGCCUUCUCUCGUCCCUCGUCCUCGCUGUGCGCAGCGCCGUUUUUGCGCUACCGAGAGGGAGCAAAGGCGGAGAGGGGAGGAAGAGGAGCACGCUGGGGGUUCGCGGGCUGUUUCCGGUGCGAGACGACUGCACAGCGCAGCAGACGCGGCGCAGGCGGGGGUCAGCGAGGUGGGAGGGAAGCCGACAGGUGAGGGGCGUGGGAGGGGGAGGGGCAGGGCUUGCCCGGAGGGUAGCAGGCAAUGCACCCUGUCCUCUCCGCCUGGCCCCCUUCCCUUGCGCUUCGGUCUCCUGCUCGCUGCCGUUGCGGCAUGUCUCGCAUGCACCUUCCCCCUCUCCUGAUGCUUGUGUGCAUGCCGGCAAAUGGCCCAUGCGCUCCCGCUGUGCACGCCUCGCAGUGCCACUUGCCUGUCUCCUCACCACUGCCUCCCCCCUCCCCCCACAUUUCUCUCCCCGUCUCUCCCUCUUUUCACUCCCGCUCACAUCUCCCAUCCCUCCCCCUCUCAAAACGAACACGCGCGAACCAAUGCAAAACAACACCAUGCGCGUGCACACGCAACGACAACAG